GUGCUUGCUUCAGCAGCACAUAUACGAAAAUUGGAAUGAUACAGAGAAAAUUAGCAUGGCCCCUGCGCAAGGGUGAUGUGCAAAUUCGUGAAGUAUUCCAUAUUAAA
Molecule: small nuclear RNA, 107 nt
Organism: Callorhinus ursinus (northern fur seal)
Lineage: Eukaryota; Metazoa; Chordata; Mammalia; Carnivora; Otariidae
Source: RefSeq, a predicted model, not a curated record